GUGACGUAUAAUCUAGUGGACGAAACACUUCAACAACAACAGCGAGUCAUCCACCUCCGUAGCCAACAUAGCUGAACGAUUCAAGCUGUUUAGACUGUUUCGGUGUAUAUUAUCCACUAUAUUUUAAACACACUUCUGUCGGCUUAUGCCGUUUAGCUAUUUACCCCCUUUAAUUCCAUAUUUAGCUUUCUAGUAGCUAGCUGGAUGGCUAACAUCCCCGACCAUGAGGUCAGUAAGCUACUCUCCUCCUGCUAAAGAAGAGCUCUGCUGGACGAAGAAAGAGAGCCUGUGGCAGAACAUUGUUGUGAAAGAGGAGAAGGAAGAGGAGGAUGUUACAGUGAAAGAAGAAAAAUACGUUUCGGCGAAAGAAGAGGAAGACGCGUUCAGAGUGAGGAGGAGGAUGUUACAGUGAAAGAAGAGGCGGAGGAACAGGGGAAGAUAACUGUCACAUCGAACGAGGAGGAGACUAGGGAUCUGAUUAACAACAUUCAGUACUGUCUUGGAAACGGGCACAAACUGUCUGCAGUUGUUGAACUGAUGCAGGAGAGAGACCAGACUCUCCUUCUGACGGCAGGAAGAGUCCUUCAGGGGAACCAGACCCUGAGACGUCCAAACCAGCAGGACGACAUCACUGCUCCCAGUGUGUAAAGAGUUUUACUCAGUUAGGGAGCCUGAAAACACAUAAGAGAAGACACACAGAAGAGAAGCCUUACCACUGCUCCUUGUGUGGAAAGAGUUUUAGGUGGUUUGGAAGCGUGGAAAGGCAUGAGAGGACACACACAGGAGAAAAGCCUUUCUAAUGUUCCCAUUGUGGAAAGAGUUGUACCCAGUUAGGGAGCCUGAAGGAGCAUGAGAGAAUGACAUUGAGGUUAAAUAAAGUGUGCUUUAUCAAUGUAA
Oncorhynchus tshawytscha (Chinook salmon) is the source of this 897-nucleotide long non-coding RNA. RefSeq lists it as uncharacterized. Lineage: Eukaryota; Metazoa; Chordata; Actinopteri; Salmoniformes; Salmonidae. The transcript is spliced from 2 exons. The record is from RefSeq and is a predicted model, not a curated record.